CGCUGGAGCAUCCUGAGCGGCGAGUGGCGAACGGGUGAGUAAUACAUCGGAACGUGUCCUGUAGUGGGGGAUAGCCCGGCGAAAGCCGGAUUAAUACCGCAUACGAUCUACGGAUGAAAGCGGGGGAUCGCAAGACCUCGCGCUAUAGGGGCGGCCGAUGGCGGAUUAGCUAGUUGGUGGGGUAAAGGCCCACCAAGGCGACGAUCCGUAGCUGGUCUGAGAGGACGACCAGCCACACUGGGACUGAGACACGGCCCAGACUCCUACGGGAGGCAGCAGUGGGGAAUUUUGGACAAUGGGCGCAAGCCUGAUCCAGCAAUGCCGCGUGUGUGAAGAAGGCCUUCGGGUUGUAAAGCACUUUUGUCCGGAAAGAAAUCCUCUGGGUUAAUACCCCGGGGGGAUGACGGUACCGGAAGAAUAAGCACCGGCUAACUACGUGCCAGCAGCCGCGGUAAUACGUAGGGUGCGAGCGUUAAUCGGAAUUACUGGGCGUAAAGCGUGCGCAGGCGGUGAUGUAAGACCGAUGUGAAAUCCCCGGGCUUAACCUGGGAACUGCAUUGGUGACUGCAUCGCUGGAGUAUGGCAGAGGGGGGUAGAAUUCCACGUGUAGCAGUGAAAUGCGUAGAGAUGUGGAGGAAUACCGAUGGCGAAGGCAGCCCCCUGGGCCCAUACUGACGCUCAUGCA
Molecule: ribosomal RNA, 685 nt
Filed under: Burkholderia sp. Ms224
Lineage: Bacteria; Pseudomonadati; Pseudomonadota; Betaproteobacteria; Burkholderiales; Burkholderiaceae
Description: bacterial SSU rRNA
Rfam family: Bacterial small subunit ribosomal RNA
Source: RNAcentral